Molecule: long non-coding RNA, 1070 nt
Filed under: Equus asinus (donkey)
Lineage: Eukaryota; Metazoa; Chordata; Mammalia; Perissodactyla; Equidae
Description: lncRNA (ENSEASG00005036892.1)
Source: RNAcentral
AUUUCACAUGCUCCUGGGCACUACUCAACAGAUUGAAAAAAUAACAAUAAGAGAAACCAAUGACCCUCCCGAAAUGAAUGCCUCUCUGGCCGUAGAGAGCUCGCUGUGCAUCAGCUGAGGCCCGUGGAUUUAACAGACUCCGAGCUUGGGACGCGGCGUGUCGGGAGGAAGCCCGGAAAGAGGCAGUACCGGAACUACAUAUGGAGGCGAGUGGUGCGAGCGCACGAGGGAUUAUUUUGUGCUGAUGUUCACGUUCUUGGUUCUUAUGCUCCUGAAAACAAUGCCUUCAGCAUGCAAGCAGGUGUGACUCUUAGUCCAUAAAUACAGGAUCCUUCACGGGCACAGUCGGGCCCCUCCCCUGCCGGGGUGUCCUGGCACCCCGGAAUGCUGAUACGGAGCCCUGAGGUUCAGCGAAGGGUCUCUCCUCUCCAGUUUAUCAGACUCGCCACUGUUCUCCUCAUUGUUCAGAGAGGAAAGAUUCAAGAGAGAUAUGAAGAGGAAAUGAGAAGGGCAGAAAUAGACCCCCGCCCCCACCCCAGUGGAGCUGUAAAUAGGCAGUGAAAUGUCUGCGCUCCUGGAGAGAAAUCAGAUCUUGGAUGUCAGCGCUCAGAAGGAAUUGUGAAGUCAAGCUUCUCUCCUGCUGCUGAAUGCUGGAGAUGUGCAUCUUCCUUAAAACGUAUCACACAUUUUCUUUUAAUUAUAAAAGUAACACACACUCAGUCUAGGACACAUUGCAAAUAUACAUAAAUAUGAAGAAGAAAACAAAAAUUAAUCACUACCCAGAGAGAGACACUAUUAUAAUUUCCUUCUGUUUCAUCAUACACACACACACACACACACCCUUUCUAUUUUAACAUAAUUGGGAAUAUACUAUAGAUACCUUUUCAUCCUUUUCCCCUUUAUAUGUUAUAUCAUGAGUAUUUUCCCACGUCAUUAAAAAUUGCUUUAAAAUAUCAUUUUUAAAGACUACAUCAUAUGCCAUCUUGUAAACGCACCAUAAUUUAUUUAACUAGUCUCCUGUUGUCAAAUUUUAAGCACUUUUUUUCUCUUAUAAAUAGCAUGGCAAUGAA